AUCUAAGUACCCCGAGGAAAAGAAAUCAACCGAGAUUCCCCCAGUAGCGGCGAGCGAACGGGGAGCAGCCCAGAGUCUGAAUCAGCUUGUGUGUUAGUGGAACGGUCUGGAAAGUCCGACGGUACAGGGUGAUAGUCCCGUACACCAAAAUGCACAGGCUGUGAACUCGAAGAGUAGGGCGGGACACGUGGUAUCCUGUCUGAAUAUGGGGGGACCAUCCUCCAAGGCUAAAUACUCCUGACUGACCGAUAGUGAACCAGUACCGUGAGGGAAAGGCGAAAAGAACCCCGGCGAGGGGAGUGAAAAAGAACCUGAAACCGUGUACGUACAAGCAGUGGGAGCACCUUCGGGUGUGACUGCGUACCUUUUGUAUAAUGGGUCAGCGACUUAUAUUCUGUAGCAAGGUUAACCGUAUAGGGGAGCCGCAGGGAAACCGAGUCUUAACUGGGCGUUAAGUUGCAGGGUAUAGACCCGAAACCCGGUGAUCUAGCCAUGGGCAGGUUGAAGGUUGGGUAACACUAACUGGAGGACCGAACCGACUAAUGUUGAAAAAUUAGCGGAUGACUUGUGGCUGGGGGUGAAAGGCCAAUCAAACCGGGAGAUAGCUGGUUCUCCCCGAAAGCUAUUUAGGUAGCGCCUCGUGAACUCAUCUUCGGGGGUAGAGCACUGUUUCGGCUAGGGGGUCAUCCCGACUUACCAACCCGAUGCAAACUACGAAUACCGAAGAAUGUUAUCACGGGAGACACACGGCGGGUGCUAACGUCCGUCGUGAAGAGGGAAACAACCCAGACCGCCAGCUAAGGUCCCAAAGUCAUGGUUAAGUGGGAAACGAUGUGGGAAGGCACAGACAGCCAGGAUGUUGGCUUAGAAGCAGCCAUCAUUUAAAGAAAGCGUAAUAGCUCACUGGUCGAGUCGGCCUGCGCGGAAGAUGUAACGGGGCUAAACCAUGCACCGAAGCUGCGGCAGCGACACUAUGUGUUGUUGGGUAGGGGAGCGUUCUGUAAGCCUGCGAAGGUGACCUGUGAGGGUUGCUGGAGGUAUCAGAAGUGCGAAUGCUGACAUAAGUAACGAUAAAGCGGGUGAAAAGCCCGCUCGCCGGAAGACCAAGGGUUCCUGUCCAACGUUAAUCGGGGCAGGGUGAGUCGACCCCUAAGGCGAGGCCGAAAGGCGUAGUCGAUGGGAAACAGGUUAAUAUUCCUGUACUUGGUGUUACUGCGAAGGGGGGACGGAGAAGGCUAUGUUAGCCGGGCGACGGUUGUC
Molecule: ribosomal RNA, 1260 nt
Filed under: Klebsiella pneumoniae
Lineage: Bacteria; Pseudomonadati; Pseudomonadota; Gammaproteobacteria; Enterobacterales; Enterobacteriaceae
Description: partial 23S ribosomal RNA
Rfam family: Bacterial large subunit ribosomal RNA
Source: RNAcentral